This 446-nucleotide ribosomal RNA is filed under the name uncultured bacterium. Its description in RNAcentral is "bacterial SSU rRNA". It matches the Rfam family "Bacterial small subunit ribosomal RNA", at positions 424 to 866 of the family's 1533-position model. The record is from RNAcentral.
AAUAAAGCACUUUCAAUAGGGAGGAAUACCUUUUAGCUACUACCUAGAAGAAUGACAUUACCUAUAGAAGAAGCACCGGCUAACUCCGUGCCAGCAGCCGCGGUAAUACAGAGGGUGCAAGCGUUAAUCGGAAUUACUGGGCGUAAAGCGUGCGUAGGCGGCUAAUUAAGCCAGAUGUGAAAGCCCUGGGCUUAACCUGGGAACUGCAUUUGGAACUGGUAAGCUAGAGUUGAGUAGAGGUAAGUGGAAUUUCAAGUGUAGCGGUGAAAUGCGUAGAGAUCUGAAGGAACACCAGUGGCGAAGGCGACUUACUGGACUCAAACUGACGCUGAGGUACGAAAGCGUGGGUAGCAAACAGGAUUAGAUACCCUGGUAGUACAAGCCCUAAACGAUGGAUACUCGACAUCAGCGAUACACGGUUGGUGUCUGAGCGAAAGCAUUACGUA